Pseudoliparis swirei is the source of this 757-nucleotide long non-coding RNA. RefSeq lists it as uncharacterized. The record is from RefSeq and is a predicted model, not a curated record. The transcript has 2 exons. NCBI's taxonomy places the organism in Eukaryota, Metazoa, Chordata, Actinopteri, Perciformes, Liparidae.
AACACACCGCCUUGUGUUGUCCUCCCUCCAUCCCCUCCCUCUCUCUCUCGCUCCCUUCCCUUCUCCUUUAAGAGAGACUUUUGGCAGCAUGGAACAAUUUCAGACCCAUUUGUGGGAUGGCGUCACGUGACGCGGACGGGAGAUGCUCAUUGGCUGCUCCGGUGCCGCCGGUCUGGAUGUGAUUCUGACUCCUACAAUGAUCCCUCCGUCUGGACCCUCCUCCUCUUCACCACAUCGCCGUCACAUUUCAUCUGGGCACUAAUGGCACAACUUAAUUAGUCUUGUUAGGCGGUGGGCUUCGAUUUCAAGUGUUUUUUUCUUCUUUUCAUCAUCACUUAAUAUUGACUUUGAUGAAAGUUAAUCUAACAUCUGGGCUGCGGUCCAAAAUCCUCCUUUUUACUCACUCGUGUCUUCUCCAGGAGCACCUGAAGCCACUCGGGUAAAGCUGAAAUAGAAAUGCGGAACACAACAGCAGAAACGAAGCUGCUUUCUGGGCGGCGUCGGAGCGCUGGACUCCUGCCACGCUCCUCCUCGGCUCUGAAUAUCUGCAGCAGCGACACGCGGAUCGUGAAUUGGCAUAUUCCAAAGACGCCGCUCGCCGCUCGGCGUGAAGCGUGGAGCGGCUCUCUCGUGUCGGAGCUUCACGCCAGCUGUGCUCCAGCUGUACUUUCCCUCUGAUGGACGUCUGGCGUCACUCAUUGGACGCUGUGGUUUGGGAUACCGGCAGUUAAUAAAUCAGCCAGGUGUCCAAUAAUAA